CAUUCUAUGACAACCAUUGCCUUAGAUGGAGAAUAAAGACCAAUCCUUGUGCGUUGAUCUCACUCAAAUCAACGAUCUAGAUUUUUUUCGGAUUUAUUGUUUUAAUGAAAUUACUUAUUAUUUAUCUGGUUUUAAUGAACCGCUGAGGGUAAAAACGUGAACUUCUAUUUCAACGAAAUGAUGCUGUUUAAUAUAUCCCGUGAAUCACGCAUUUUCCAUUCGAAGGGAAGCUGUUCCAAAACAAUGGCGAUUAUAUUUUCCCUUCCAAGAAAUAUUUUCACAGAAGAUAUAAUUGAAGAAUUUGGUAUCGCGCUGGUGAUUCGGCGUCUUCUCAAUCGCCGUUAUGGAGUUGGAGCAUGGAAAUGAAUUUGUCGUUCCAGGGUACUGGAGGAGAAUCACCAAUACUUGGGUGUGUGUUGAAGAAUCGUCCUGUCAAGAAAUUGAAUUAUUGAGCAUAUGAUAUUUAUAAUAUUGUGUGCAUUAAGACUCCGCUCAGCUGUAGAUAAAAGGCGAUUGCUAUGCAUUGUAUGCACAAUGAUUCUCUGGACGAUGGCAAGGUUCUUUUCAUGGUAAAAGAUGUUGAGUUACGUAGAUAUGAUUUCGUUUCUAUGAGAAGAGGAUGUCUAGUGCAGCCAUCGAUAGUUAAUGCAUGGUCGAUUAUGUUGAACCACGUGUCUAUAUCUGAUGCUGUGAAACAACCAAUACGAUUCUUUGCCUCUACAGACAUAUAUGCAAGUAUUCGAAGUUAAAUCUGUAUGUAACAGUGCUUUGUGAAUAUAUUGUAUGAAAUUUUUAUUUGAAGUGCUGGAACACAGAUUGAUUGCAUAUACAACAAUGAAAUGUCACAUGUGAACCGAAAACGAACAUUCUCUGAUGGAUUGGAGUGUGAGUUGCGUUUGUAUCAAACCAACUCUCUGGGUGUAAUUGACAUGUUUUUUUUUCCCUGUAUUUCCAGAUGGCAUCCCAUAUCUUCUUUGUUUUGAUUUACGCAAGGAGUUGAUGUUCGUUAUUGACAGUUCAGUACAGUUUAAUCAUCUUCCUGUUGGAACCAACUACGACCUCUUGUGUGAUGUUUUUCCUGCUCUAUUGUCCGAAUUUCUAAACGACAAUGGAGAACAUUUGAGUGCGGCGUCAGUUGCAAAAUCAACAAUUGAAGUCGUUCAACUCAACUGG
Salvia miltiorrhiza (redroot sage) is the source of this 1173-nucleotide long non-coding RNA. RefSeq lists it as uncharacterized. NCBI's taxonomy places the organism in Eukaryota, Viridiplantae, Streptophyta, Magnoliopsida, Lamiales, Lamiaceae. The transcript has 6 exons. The record is from RefSeq and is a predicted model, not a curated record.